RNAcentral lists this ribosomal RNA (484 nucleotides) under uncultured soil bacterium. RNAcentral's name for it is "bacterial SSU rRNA". It matches the Rfam family "Bacterial small subunit ribosomal RNA", at positions 26 to 491 of the family's 1533-position model. The record is from RNAcentral.
AGGACGAACGCUGGCGGCGUGCCUAAUACAUGCAAGUAGAACGCUGAAGGAAGGAGCUUGCUCUUACCGGAUGAGUUGCGAACGGGUGAGUAACGCGUAGGUAACCUGCCUGGUAGCGGGGGAUAACUAUUGGAAACGAUAGCUAAUACCGCAUAAGAGUAGAUAUCGCAUGAUAGCUGCUUGAAAGGUGCAAUUGCACCACUACCAGAUGGACCUGCGUUGUAUUAGCUAGUUGGUGAGGUAACGGCUCACCAAGGCAACGAUACAUAGCCGACCUGAGAGGGUGAUCGGCCACACUGGGACUGAGACACGGCCCAGACUCCUACGGGAGGCAGCAGUAGGGAAUCUUCGGCAAUGGACGGAAGUCUGACCGAGCAACGCCGCGUGAGUGAAGAAGGUUUUUCGGAUCGUAAAGCUCUGUUGUAAGAGAAGAACGAGUGUGAGAGUGGAAAGUUCACACUGUGACGGUAUCUUACCAGAAAGG